Molecule: long non-coding RNA, 1563 nt
Organism: Gorilla gorilla gorilla (western lowland gorilla)
Lineage: Eukaryota; Metazoa; Chordata; Mammalia; Primates; Hominidae
Exons: 6
Source: RefSeq, a predicted model, not a curated record
UGAGGCCAGCAUUCUGUGAUUCACCUGGAAAACACAAGUCCCCACUUCUUCCUCAUUUCUGUGCCUCUCUGGAGGGAACCCUGGCAGCCCUUGCCUCAGUUUCUGGGACAAUCCAGGCAGCUCUCCAUCACUGGAGAACACCAGAUGGAAUGGAUGGAGGCAAUUUUGCAGAAAGUGCUUUAAGAGCGGCUUCCUCAGUGGUCUUUCCAGCUGGAAGCAGAGCGUCCAGAAAGCACCGCAUUCUCAGCACUGUUUCAUCGCCUCAAGAGCUACAGAUGGCUUCCCCAAGCACCUGAAGUCGAUGCUGCUUGCCUGGAUGGAAUAAGCUGCAAGCUGCAGAAACUCUUGUCUUUUCACAGUGGAACUCAGACUCCAGUUUCUUUCUGCCUUGAGAGUGAAAGAAAGGAGAAGACACAGAGUAGGAAAGAGCCAGAAGGUGGAGAAAUUAAUGUUUAAUGCUUGAUACUCCCUGGGCCUGGCCAGCUGCUCAAAAAAAGGAAGGAGGUGAUGAAGAGAGAAAGAAAGAAAGGAUGGAAGGAAGGAAGGAUGAAGUGGACAAUGAGCCCAGAGCCCUCACCUGAGUUCCAAACAUUUAAGUCAAACUGCCAACUUCAUUCUCCACUUGGACGAUUUCUCAACAUGUACAAAACCAAGUCCUGAUUUUUCCGUGCCCUCAAAUCUGUUCUAUCUGAAGCCUCUCUAUCUCAGUUACUGAUCCUGGCUGAUGGAUAUAAUGAAGGCAUGAAAUAUACUAGUUGAACAAGGAAAUGAACUUGAACCAAAUUGUGAAGGUCUCUGCAGUGAAAUAUUAAAGAUUAGCAAGCUAAACAGAGAAAAAGAUAACACUCAAGAAGCUGCCUAUAUGUAAGAGAUUCUUUUGAGAACUUUCAAAUGGCUCCUUUCUACAAAAGACCUGGGAAUACUUAACCCCCCACCACUAGCACACUCAAAGCUCAAGGCAAAUGCAUUUUCAAGAUUGACAGGGUCUUGGACUCUGAAAGUCUUUGGACCCGAGAAAAAUCGUAUUAUCUAAGAGUGCAGUUAUUCUGACACAGACUGACAUCAGGUGCCCGUGACAUGAAACACGGAAGAGAAUAAUAGCAUCUACCUUAUAGGAAGACAUACUAUAUUCUGGACCACAUAUCUGAUAAUUCUUACAGCCCUUUGAAGAUAAUCAUAACUAGAAUAUUAUCUUAUUUUGUAGCUCAUAGAUGUCAGAAGACUAGCUCAUAAUUUUAUUGCAGAUCAUAGCAGAACCAAGAUUUGAACUCAGACCUGUCUCAUUCCACAACUCAUUUUCCUUGAAGUCAAUAGACGCCACUGAUCUCUAAAUACCUACAAAAGGGGCUCGGAGGUGGAGAGGGGAUGUCUGAGGAGCCUUAGGACUACCACCCAAUGUUCUGUCUUUAGAUAGAGAUGCUAUCACCAAUCUCUCACACAUACUCCUCCUCAUCUCAUUUCUGUUCGUGUACUUGGUUCUCAGUGUAAGAUUUUGUUAGAAGAAAGAGGCAUGUUGGUAAAAUAAGAAAUAAUAUAUCAAAAAUAAAAUAAAAUUGUUUGAAA